AUCCUUUUCUGGCUCCUAAGCGUGAUGACUGGGUUGUCACAUGCUUUCGUGACAUGUACCGCCCUCCAGCUUUGUCCUGCCGUGGGCACAUGACCCAUCUGAUA
This is a small nucleolar RNA of Perognathus longimembris pacificus (Pacific pocket mouse), 104 nucleotides long. RefSeq annotates it as small nucleolar RNA U13. The transcript has a single exon. The record is from RefSeq and is a predicted model, not a curated record. Lineage: Eukaryota; Metazoa; Chordata; Mammalia; Rodentia; Heteromyidae.